Molecule: ribosomal RNA, 454 nt
Filed under: uncultured Pedobacter sp.
Lineage: Bacteria; Pseudomonadati; Bacteroidota; Sphingobacteriia; Sphingobacteriales; Sphingobacteriaceae
Description: bacterial SSU rRNA
Rfam family: Bacterial small subunit ribosomal RNA
Source: RNAcentral
UGUAAGUAGCUGGAUGUACCGGAGGAAUAAGGAUCGGCUAACUCCGUGCCAGCAGCCGCGGUAAUACGGAGGAUCCAAGCGUUAUCCGGAUUUAUUGGGUUUAAAGGGUGCGUAGGCGGCCUGUUAAGUCAGGGGUGAAAGACGGUAGCUCAACUAUCGCAGUGCCCUUGAUACUGAUGGGCUUGAAUACACUAGAGGUAGGCGGAAUGUGACAAGUAGCGGUGAAAUGCAUAGAUAUGUCACAGAACACCGAUUGCGAAGGCAGCUUACUAUGGUGUCAUUGACGCUGAGGCACGAAAGCGUGGGGAUCAAACAGGAUUAGAUACCCUGGUAGUCCACGCCCUAAACGAUGAAUACUCGCUGUUAGCGAUAUACAGUUAGCGGCUAAGCGAAAGCGUUAAGUAUUCCACCUGGGGAGUACGCUCGCAAGAGUGAAACUCAAAGGAAUUGACGG